AAAGGAUUCCAGCAAUGCCUCUGACCCCUGGGUGUGUGUCUGGGGUAGGCAGAACUCAUCCAAACACCUUCUAGCCCCAGCCUGCCAUAGGACUCCAGCAGCCUCUGCACUCACGGGGCAGCUGGGCUCUCUAAUGAUCUCUUUGUGAUGAGGAAUUGUGGCCCAGCCCAGCAUCAAGGCCAGCUGAGCAGGACAAGGAACCCCACGUGCAGGCCUGGGGCUGUCCGCCAGGCUCCAAGGAGAAAACACAGAUUCUACUAAAAUUGCUGAAAGACACAUGAGAAAGUGUUCAACAUCCUUAGCCAUCAGGGAAAUGCAACUCAAAACUCUGAGACACCAUCUUACUCCUGUCAGAAUGGCUAAAAUAAAAAACACCAAUGACAGUUUAUGCUGGAGAGGAUGAAAGAAAGAUGAACACUCCUCCACUGCUGGUGGGAGUGCCAACUGGUACAGCCACUUUGGAAAUCAGUAUGGCGACGUCUCAAGAAAAUGGGAAUGAGUCUACCACAAGAUCCAGCAACUCCACUCCUAGGCAUAUACCCAAAAGAAGCACAUUCAUACAACAAGGACAUCUGUUCAACCAUGUUCAUUGCAGCACUAUUUGUUAUAGCCAGAAACUGGAAGCAUCCUAGAUGCCCCUCAACUGAAGAAUGGAUAGAGAAAAUGUGGUAAAUUUACACAACGGAGUACUACUCAGCAGAAAAAAACAAUGGAAUCUUGAAAUUUGCAGAAAAAUGGAUAGAACUCGAAGAAACCAUUCUGAGCCAGGUAACCCAAUCACAAAAAGACAAGCAUGAUAUAUACUCACUCAUAUGUGGAUUUUAAACAUAGAGUAAGGGAUUACCAGCCUACAAUCCACACUGCCAGAGAAACUAGUACACAAGGAGGACCCUAACAGAGACAAACUUUGUCCCCUGGAGAAGGGGAAAGGGUCAAUUUCUCCUGAGCAAAUUGAGAGCAUGGGAAGAGUUGGGAGGGAGCUAUGAGAAUGAGAAGGGAAGAAGAGGAAGGAUGCAGAGGUCAUGAGGGAGCAGAAAGGUUGAGUCAGGUGUAGAUUAGAAGAAAGGAUAUGUGAUAGGUAGGGUUUUAGGUGGGG
Molecule: long non-coding RNA, 1096 nt
Filed under: Cricetulus griseus (Chinese hamster)
Lineage: Eukaryota; Metazoa; Chordata; Mammalia; Rodentia; Cricetidae
Description: lncRNA (ENSCGRG00015036841.1)
Source: RNAcentral